AAGAAUUACCAUCUGAAGAUCAAGAAUCUGAUGCUUGCAUUAUAUGCCAAGAAGAAUUUGAAAGUAAGGAAAAUGUUGGAAUUCUUGCAUGUGAGCAUGCAUUUCACGUCGGGUGCAUAACGCAAUGGUUGUUGAUCAAAAAUAAGUGUCCAGUAUGCAAAUCUGAAGCUUUGACUCCUGCAAAGGUUGAAUAGAAGAAAUUCAUAGACUUUUCAUAGCUAUGAAUAUCUUUUUCUUUCUGAAUAUGCACUUUUCAAAUAAUUGGAUUUUGGACAUGUCUUGUUAUGUUAUUUGAUUAAUGCUGUUGUUGGGUACUAGAACUUAAUAUCUUUAAAUUUUUGCUGACAUUGUUAUGGUGGAUGUUUUUUUCUUCAAAUAAUUAUAAUGAUACUUUUGAAUUUA
This is a long non-coding RNA of Lathyrus oleraceus (garden pea), 402 nucleotides long. RefSeq lists it as uncharacterized. NCBI's taxonomy places the organism in Eukaryota, Viridiplantae, Streptophyta, Magnoliopsida, Fabales, Fabaceae. The transcript is spliced from 2 exons. The record is from RefSeq and is a predicted model, not a curated record.